AAUACUCCAGCGAGGCCCUGGAGGGCUGAUGUGGAGAAGGGUUCCGUGUGAACAGCCGUUGCACACGGGUCAGUCGAUCCUAAGCCCUAGGGGAAACCCGAGGUUGAUGGACGCGGUGUUUUCGAACGAUUAAUCUUCUUCUUCUCCUUCUCGGACUUCUUUAUUUUUUCGCGCGAGCGAGACGGGGAGACCCGUUUCCGAAACGCCAAAAAGGAGGAAAAAAGAGAGGGGUGGGGGAAAUUAAAAACAAACACAUCACCGCCCGUCGGGCGACAGGGAAUCCGUUUCCUAUUACGGAACCCGGUUGCGGAACCGCACUCACGAUCCUCGUAUUGACACGGUAACGUGAAUGACCCUAGAGAUGCCGCCUGGAGUCCCCGGAAGAGUUUUCUUUUCUGCAUAAGCGUUCGGGUUCCAUGGAAUCCUCUCGCAGGGAGAUAUGGAAUGGAACGCGAAGAGCACCGCAGUUGCUGCGGUGUCGGGGAAUUCCCGUCGGCCCUUGAAAAUCUAGGUGAGGGUAACGUGGAGUGGUCGCGCCGGUUCGUACCCAUAUCCGCAGCAGUCUCCAAGUCAAGAGCCUCUAGUCGAUAGACUAAUGUAGG
Molecule: ribosomal RNA, 602 nt
Filed under: Tricorythus sp. BYU IGCEP206
Lineage: Eukaryota; Metazoa; Arthropoda; Insecta; Ephemeroptera; Tricorythidae
Description: eukaryotic LSU rRNA
Rfam family: Eukaryotic large subunit ribosomal RNA
Source: RNAcentral